GACGAACGCUGGCGGCGUGCUUAACACAUGCAAGUCGAACGGACAGGCCCUGCUUUUGUGCGGUUCUCGAGUGGCGAACGCGUGUGUAACACGCGAGUAACCUGCCCUUAUCUUUCUGAUAUCUCCAGGAAACUGCGGCUAAUACCGCAUAUGAGCUCUUGCUGCAUGGUGGGCGUUGGAAAGUUUCGGCGUUUGUGGCUGGACUCGCGGCUUAUCAGCUUGUUUGUGUGGUAGUGGCUUACCAAGGCUUUGACGGGUAGGCGGCCUGAGAGGGUUACCGGGCACCAGGCGACUAAGGGACGGAGCAGACGCCUACGGGACGCAACAGUGGAGAGUAUUACAGAGUGGGCGGGAGCGUGAUGCAGCGACCCCGCGUGCGGGAUGACGGCCUACGGGUUGUAAACAGAUGUGGCAUGUGACGAAGCGUGAGUGACGGUAAUGGGUAAAGAAGCCCCGGCUAACUACGUG
RNAcentral lists this ribosomal RNA (468 nucleotides) under uncultured bacterium. RNAcentral's name for it is "partial 16S ribosomal RNA". It matches the Rfam family "Bacterial small subunit ribosomal RNA", at positions 28 to 507 of the family's 1533-position model. The record is from RNAcentral.